GCGGGGAUAGCUUAGUUGGGAGAGCGUCAGACUGAAGAUAGGUCGCGUGUAUGAUCCACGCUCACCACA
Molecule: non-coding RNA, 69 nt
Organism: Picea glauca (white spruce)
Lineage: Eukaryota; Viridiplantae; Streptophyta; Pinopsida; Pinales; Pinaceae
Source: Rfam